This 324-nucleotide long non-coding RNA is filed under the name Brassica napus (rape). RNAcentral describes it as "long non-coding RNA (BNAP_LNC011098)". The record is from RNAcentral. Lineage: Eukaryota; Viridiplantae; Streptophyta; Magnoliopsida; Brassicales; Brassicaceae.
UAAGGUAUAUAUUUAAUUUAAAUUUAGUGUUUGAAAGUAAUUAAGUGUUGAUUCCUGCGUCGUGUUGUCCAUGUUGGAUAUGAUAAGAAUCUAACGAAUGUAAUCCACAAACAAUUAACCAACCACGUGGAACUUCUCGAUCAUCAUUUUCAUUAUCUUAUACAUUCGACUGUUAUUCCUUAUUUCUAUUCCCGUAAUUGCAAUCCUUCGAAUACAAACGUUUUUGGUCGCACUCAAUCUAAACAUAUCUUGGAUAAAUUAUAUUUUUUUUAAACAUAUCUUGAAGAAUCAUGUAAACCUUCACUGGUAGUAAUAAAAUAAGAU